GAAGUCAGCCAGACCGCCGCUGCCCGCCUCACGGCGGGGAGAGGAAAGUCCGGGCUCCGCAGAGCAGGAUGCCGGGUAACGCCCGGCCGCUAUAAGUCGCCGCUCGCGCGGCCGAUGAAGGCGAGGAACAGGGCCACAGAGACGAGUCGCUCCGUUCGCGCAAGCGCGCGGGGCGGGUGAAACGCGGCAACCUCCAUCCGGAGCAACACCAAGUAGGCGGACUACGAUGCUGCUCGCAGAGUCCGCGGGUAGGUGGCUUGAGCCCCCCGGCAACGGAGGGCCUAGAGGAAUGGCGGUCAUAGCGCGGGACGGAGUGCCCGCGCCGUAACAGAACCCGGCUUACCGGCUGACUUCGACU
This 358-nucleotide RNase P RNA is filed under the name Betaproteobacteria bacterium. Its description in RNAcentral is "RNase P RNA component class A". It matches the Rfam family "Bacterial RNase P class A". Rfam says of the family: Ribonuclease P (RNase P) is a ubiquitous endoribonuclease, found in archaea, bacteria and eukarya as well as chloroplasts and mitochondria. The record is from RNAcentral. Lineage: Bacteria; Pseudomonadati; Pseudomonadota; Betaproteobacteria.